GAUGAACGCUGGCGGCGUGCCUAAUACAUGCAGGUAGAACGCUGAAGGAGGAGCUUGCUCUUCUGGAUGAGUUGCGAACGGGUGAGUAACGCGUAGGUAACCUGCCUGGUAGCGGGGGAUAACUAUUGGAAACGAUAGCUAAUACCGCAUGACAACAGUUAUUGCAUGAUAACUGUUUAAAAGGGGCAACUGCUCCACUACCAGAUGGACCUGCGUUGUAUUAGCUAGUUGGUGAGGUAACGGCGCACCAAGGCGACGAUACAUAGCCGACCUGAGAGGGGGGUCGGCCACACUGGGAGGGAGACACGGCACAGACUCCUACAGGAGGGAGCAGUAGGGAAUCGUCGGCAAGGGACGGAAGUCUGACCGAGAAACGCCGCGGGAGUGAAGAAGGUUGUCGGAUCGGAAAGCUCUGUUGUAAGAGAAGAACGAGUGUGAGAGUGGAAAGUUCACACUGUGACGGUAACUGAUCGGAAAGGGACGGCUAACUACGUG
This 495-nucleotide ribosomal RNA is filed under the name uncultured bacterium. Its description in RNAcentral is "partial 16S ribosomal RNA". It matches the Rfam family "Bacterial small subunit ribosomal RNA", at positions 28 to 507 of the family's 1533-position model. The record is from RNAcentral.